RNAcentral lists this ribosomal RNA (253 nucleotides) under uncultured bacterium. RNAcentral's name for it is "partial 16S ribosomal RNA". It matches the Rfam family "Bacterial small subunit ribosomal RNA", at positions 524 to 776 of the family's 1533-position model. The record is from RNAcentral.
UACGUAGGGUGCGAGCGUUAAUCGGAAUUACUGGGCGUAAAGUGUGCGCAGGCGGCGCCGCAAGUCGAGUGUGAAAUCCCCGAGCUUAACUUGGGAAUUGCGCUCGAAACUACGACGCUGGAGUAUGGCAGAGGAAGGUGGAAUUCCACGUGUAGCGGUGAAAUGCGUAGAGAUGUGGAGGAACACCGAUGGCGAAGGCAGCCUUCUGGGCCAAUACUGACGCUCAUGCACGAAAGCGUGGGGAGCAAACAGG